RNAcentral lists this ribosomal RNA (462 nucleotides) under uncultured bacterium. Its description in RNAcentral is "partial 16S ribosomal RNA". It matches the Rfam family "Bacterial small subunit ribosomal RNA", at positions 28 to 507 of the family's 1533-position model. The record is from RNAcentral.
GACGAACGCUGGCGGCGUGCUUAACACAUGCAAGUCGAACGGUAAGGCCUUUCGGGGUCCACGAGUGGCGAACGGGUGAGUAACACGUGGGUGAUCUGCCCUGCACUUCGGGAUAAGCCCGGGAAACUGGGUCUAAUACCGGAUAGGACUGCGCGGUGCAUGCCGUGUGGUGGAAAGAUUUAUCGGUGCAGGAUGGGCCCGCGGCCUAUCAGCUUGUUGGUGGGGUAAUGGCCUACCAAGGCGACGACGGGUAGCCGGCCUGAGAGGGCGACCGGCCACACUGGGACUGAGACACGGCCCAGACUCCUACGGGAGGCAGCAGUGGGGAAUAUUGCACAAUGGGCGCAAGCCUGAUGCAGCGACGCCGCGUGAGGGAUGACGGCCUUCGGGUUGUAAACCUCUUUCAGCAGGGACGAAGCGUGAGUGACGGUACCUGCAGAAGAAGCACCGGCCAACUACGUG